RNAcentral lists this ribosomal RNA (467 nucleotides) under uncultured bacterium. Its description in RNAcentral is "partial 16S ribosomal RNA". It matches the Rfam family "Bacterial small subunit ribosomal RNA", at positions 29 to 507 of the family's 1533-position model. The record is from RNAcentral.
ACGAACGCUGGCGGCGUGCUUAACACAUGCAAGUCGAACGGAAAGGCCCUGCUUUUGUGGGGUGCUCGAGUGGCGAACGGGUGAGUAACACGUGAGUAACCUGCCCUUGACUUUGGGAUAACUUCAGGAAACUGGGGCUAAUACCGGAUAGGAGCUCCUGCUGCAUGGUGGGGGUCGGAAAGUUUCGGCGGUUGGGGAUGGACUCGCGGCUUAUCAGCUUGUUGGUGGGGUAGUGGCUUACCAAGGCUUUGACGGGGAGCCGGCCUGAGAGGGUGACCGGCCACAUUGGGACUGAGAUACGGCCCAGACUCCUACGGGAGGCAGCAGUGGGGAAUAUUGCACAAUGGGCGGAAGCCUGAUGCAGCAACGCCGCGUGCGGGAUGACGGCCUUCGGGUUGUAAACCGCUUUCGCCUGUGACGAAGCGUGAGUGACGGUAAUGGGUAAAGAAGCACCGGCUAACUACGUG